Molecule: non-coding RNA, 106 nt
Filed under: Desulforapulum autotrophicum
Lineage: Bacteria; Pseudomonadati; Thermodesulfobacteriota; Desulfobacteria; Desulfobacterales; Desulfobacteraceae
Also listed under: 1 other name
Description: Desulfobacterium autotrophicum TPP sequence
Rfam family: TPP riboswitch aptamer (THI element)
About the family: Vitamin B(1) in its active form thiamin pyrophosphate (TPP) is an essential coenzyme that is synthesised by coupling of pyrimidine and thiazole moieties in bacteria.
Source: RNAcentral
UGUGUUUGCUGGGGGCGCUGACAGUGGCUGAGAAGGAUUGUAAUGAUCCUGUCCCUUGGAACCUGAUGCGGAUAAUUCCGACGUAGGGAAGCUGAUAUUUAUUUUU